AGUGACCCUAUCAUUGACAGCAAGGGAAUGUAUAAAUUCGUGGUUAAGGUAGUAUGGCGUUACGAGUCACGCCCCUUUGCUCCCUGCGUCACAUUUAGUCGCCAUCCAGAACGUCACUUUGACGGAAAUCCCGUGGCUGGUGUUUGGCUGAGGUUGCCCCUCUGCAGUCAGCGGUUUGAGUGAGACUGCUCCAGCGCAGUGAGUGCGGGUGUUUACCUGAGAUUACGGACGCGUUAUGUCCCUCUACUGAGCCCAUUGUUUCCCCGAUAGACUGCGAGCUCUCAGCUUCCCGGCACAUUGUUGUCUGUUUGACUGAUGGGAAUUUAGAUCUUAUUCAUACGACAGGUCCGUGACGUCGCGGUCUACUAUUAGCUUCGCUGUUGUUGAGCUACGUGGGAACGAUCAUCUGGAGACGCUGUUGCUUUGUUUUGGAGCUGAGUGCCUAAAGCAGUGGUGGAUUUCUGGUGUUGGUGCUUCUUUCACGAGUGCUGGUUGAAGUGGUUGUGUUGUGUGAGUGUGUGUAUGCGUGUGUCACAGGUAUAAGUGAAGGGUGUUUUGCUGUGGAGGCCGAUUGCGCCCUUAUGCCCUGCUGUCGAGCCUCAGUUCCUGUACCGGAACUUUUGGAUGUCCUUGAUGACCCAGGUCGCCCAUUAUUGUAUUUGUGAAGUGUUAUCUAUGUGAUUGUUGCCCUCAGUGAUUUAGCAGCUUUCCCUUUUUUCUAUUUUUGUAAUAAUUCCCUUUUAUUGUAAUAAACAUGAUCUUUUGUA
This is a long non-coding RNA of Labeo rohita (rohu), 767 nucleotides long. RefSeq lists it as uncharacterized. The transcript has 5 exons. The record is from RefSeq and is a predicted model, not a curated record. Lineage: Eukaryota; Metazoa; Chordata; Actinopteri; Cypriniformes; Cyprinidae.